UACAUAGCAUUUACACAAUAUUGCUUUUGU
Molecule: non-coding RNA, 30 nt
Filed under: Mus musculus (house mouse)
Lineage: Eukaryota; Metazoa; Chordata; Mammalia; Rodentia; Muridae
Source: RNAcentral